AGUGAACGCUGGCGGUAGGCCUAACACAUGCAAGUCGAACGGCAGCACAGUAAGAGCUUGCUCUUACGGGUGGCGAGUGGCGGACGGGUGAGGAAUACAUCGGAAUCUACUUUUUCGUGGGGGAUAACGUAGGGAAACUUACGCUAAUACCGCAUACGACCUACGGGUGAAAGCAGGGGAUCUUCGGACCUUGCGCGAUUGAAUGAGCCGAUGUCGGAUUAGCUAGUUGGCGGGGUAAAGGCCCACCAAGGCGACGAUCCGUAGCUGGUCUGAGGGGAUGAUCAGCCACACUGGAACUGAGACACGGUCCAGACUCCUACGGGAGGCAGCAGUGGGGAAUAUUGGACAAUGGGCGCAAGACUGAUCCAGCCAUACCGCGUGGGUGAAGAAGGCCUUCGGGUUGUAAAGCCCUUUUGUUGGGAAAGAAAAGCAGCAGGUUAAUACCCCGCUGUUCUGACGGUACCCAAAGAAUAAGCACCGGCUAACUUCGUG
This 492-nucleotide ribosomal RNA is filed under the name uncultured bacterium. RNAcentral describes it as "partial 16S ribosomal RNA". It matches the Rfam family "Bacterial small subunit ribosomal RNA", at positions 29 to 507 of the family's 1533-position model. The record is from RNAcentral.